AUUGAACGCUGGCGGCAGGCCUAACACAUGCAAGUCGAGCGGAUGAAGGGAGCUUGCUCCUGGAUUCAGCGGCGGACGGGUGAGUAAUGACUAGGAAUCUGCCUGGUAGUGGGGGAUAACGUCCGGAAACGGGCGCUAAUACCUCAUACGUCCUGAGGGAGAAAGUGGGGGAUCUUCGGACCUCACGCUAUCAGAUGAGCCUAGGUCGGAUUAGCUAGUUGGUGGGGUAAAGGCCUACCAAGGCGACGAUCCGUAACUGGUCUGAGAGGAUGAUCAGUCACACUGGAACUGAGACACGGUCCAGACUCCUACGGGAGGCAGCAGUGGGGAAUAUUCGACAAUGGGCGAAAGCCUGAUCCAGCCAUGCCGCGUGUGUGAAGAAGGUCUUCGGAUUGUAAAGCACUUUAAGUUGGGAAGAAGGGAAGUAAGUUAAUACCUUGCCGUUUUGACGUUACCAACAGAAUAAGCACCGGCUAACUUCGCG
Molecule: ribosomal RNA, 484 nt
Filed under: uncultured bacterium
Lineage: Bacteria
Description: partial 16S ribosomal RNA
Rfam family: Bacterial small subunit ribosomal RNA
Source: RNAcentral